CAUGCAAGUCGAGGGGAAACGACAUCGAAAGCUUGCUUUUGAUGGGCGUCGACCGGCGCACGGGUGAGUACGCGUAUCCAACCUGCCCACCACUUGGGGAUAACCUUGCGAAAGUAAGACUAAUACCCAAUGAUAUCUCUAGAAGACAUCUGAAAGAGAUUAAAGAUUUAUCGGUGAUGGAUGGGGAUGCGUCUGAUUAGCUGUGGCGGGUAACGGCCCACCAAGGCAACGAUCAGUAGGGGUUCUGAGAGGAAGGUCCCCCACAUUGGAACUGAGACACGGUCCAAACUCCUACGGGAGGCAGCAGUGAGGAAUAUUGGUCAAUGGGCGAGAGCCUGAACCAGCCAAGUAGCGUGCAGGACGACGGCCCUAUGGGUUGUAAACUGCUUUUAUAAGGGAAUAAAGUGAGUCUCGUGAGACUUUUUGCAUGUACCUUAUGAAUAAGGACCGGCUAAUUCCGUG
RNAcentral lists this ribosomal RNA (462 nucleotides) under uncultured bacterium. RNAcentral describes it as "bacterial SSU rRNA". It matches the Rfam family "Bacterial small subunit ribosomal RNA", at positions 54 to 507 of the family's 1533-position model. The record is from RNAcentral.